UACGGAGGGUGCGAGCGUUGUCCGGAAUUAUUGGGCGUAAAGGGCUCGUAGGCGGUCUGUCGCGUCGGUAGUGAAAACUCAGGGCUUAACCCUGAGCCUGCUUCCGAUACGGGCAGACUAGAGGUAUGCAGGGGAGAAUGGAAUUCCUGGUGUAGCGGUGAAAUGCGCAGAUAUCAGGAGGAACACCAGUGGCGAAGGCGGUUCUCUGGGCAUUACCUGACGCUGAGGAGCGAAAGUGUGGGGAGCGAACAGG
RNAcentral lists this ribosomal RNA (253 nucleotides) under uncultured bacterium. RNAcentral's name for it is "partial 16S ribosomal RNA". It matches the Rfam family "Bacterial small subunit ribosomal RNA", at positions 524 to 776 of the family's 1533-position model. The record is from RNAcentral.